Molecule: ribosomal RNA, 497 nt
Filed under: uncultured bacterium
Lineage: Bacteria
Description: partial 16S ribosomal RNA
Rfam family: Bacterial small subunit ribosomal RNA
Source: RNAcentral
GAUGAACGCUGGCGGCGUGCCUAAUACAUGCAAGUCGAGCGAACAGACGAGGAGCUUGCUCCUCUGACGUUAGCGGCGGACGGGUGAGUAACACGUGGAUAACCUACCUAUAAGACUGGGAUAACUUCGGGAAACCGGAGCUAAUACCGGAUAAUAUAUUGAACCGCAUGGUUCAAUAGUGAAAGACGGUUUUGCUGUCACUUAUAGAUGGAUCCGCGCCGCAUUAGCUAGUUGGUAAGGUAACGGCUUACCAAGGCAACGAUGGGUAGCCGACCUGAGAGGGUGAUCGGCCACACUGGAACUGAGACGCGGUCCAGACUCCUACGGGAGGCAGCAGUAGGGAAUCUUCCGCAAUGGGCGAAAGCCUGACGGAGCGGCGCCGCGUGAGUGAUGAAGGUCUUCGGAUCGUAAAACUCUGUUAUUAGGGAAGAACAAAUGUGUAAGUAACUAUGCACGUCUUGACGGUACCUAAUCAGAAAGCCACGGCUAACUACGUG